Medicago truncatula (barrel medic) is the source of this 619-nucleotide long non-coding RNA. RefSeq lists it as uncharacterized. The transcript has 2 exons. NCBI's taxonomy places the organism in Eukaryota, Viridiplantae, Streptophyta, Magnoliopsida, Fabales, Fabaceae. The record is from RefSeq and is a predicted model, not a curated record.
ACUUAAAACCGUGUCUUUAGAUUUUCAUAUUUUUAUAACAAAUGAAUCACAUGUAUUUUCUGAUGGAUGUUUUUCUAUAUUCUAUUAGGAUGCGAAAUGCAGAAAUUCGUGUGACACAUGGUGUAAGUAGUAUAUCUGGACAUAAUUUUGUUCCUUUGAGCAAUGAUCUCCUCAACACUAGGAGGGAUGUAGAUUGAGGACCUUAUUGAAGCUAACGAGGUGUGAAUCGGAGUAAUGAAGCACAAUAUUAAGGUGAUAGUUUCCGCUAAUGUAAAAUGGCUUGGAGCAAGAUAAUAACGCAAUGAACAUGGUAGUUUAAUGUUGGAGAUGAAAAGAAGACUGAGUUUUGAUGAAGUAAAAGCCUUACAAAAGAGCUUUAAGUUGAACAAGCUAGAUCAAACGUGAUAUUAGAGAUUUUGAUGUUUUUAUGUUUGAGUAUAGUAAUAUCAAUCACUUUGAUUGCACAAAUAAAUAACCCAUUUGAAAUCCUUUUUAUUUUCUUCAAGGAAAACCACUUGAAAUGCUUUAGUUAUGUGAUAAUCUAUAACUACAUUUACUACAUCAAUAUGGUAUAUACAUGGCGGUAUCAUGAUAACUAAAAUCAUGAAUUAAAUGAUCA